GAUGAGCUGUGUCUCUCCUUCAAAUUCGACCCGUUCAUAGGAACUUGGCAAAUGAAGCACGUGCCAAUGCUGUGGGCCUUCUGUUCAAUGACUUUUCACAGAAGAUUAGAAUGUUGAACAAUAUUGUAACGAAAAUGCUAUUUCCCCCAAGUCGCGGCCCGAGUCAAAUCCCAGAAUCAAAACACACCGUUUUGAUUAAGCUAAAACCGCACCGUUUGAUGUCGAAGCUAUUUUCCCUUUUAAUUACAGCCACCAUCGAUCUAGUCAACUCCAACCACAAUCCAGAGCCACCAUCGAUCCACUCAACUCCAGCCACAAUUCACAGCCACCAUCACCCAUAAUUCACAUCCCCCAUCGCCCACAAAUGCUCACAUUACCCAUUAUAUCAACGGUGCGUUUUGAUUAAGCCAAAAAACACACUUAUUUUUUAUUUCAUUGCCACCAUCGAUCCAGUCAACUCCAGCCGCAAUUCAUAGCCACCAUCGCCCACAAAUGCUCGCAUUACCCAUUAUAUUAUUAUUAAGUUAACAACAACGGCAAUAUCAUUUCACAGAAUAAGACAACAAAAUUCAACUAAAAUUCAAGCUUUGCAAAUAUUCUGUUGCCAAAGGAAUCGAAAAGACAAUACCAUACCUUAUGGCAAAGCUCACGUAAAGCUUUUUCAUAUUUAUCUAAGCUAAAUCCAGUUGCCCAAAACGAAGAUAAUAAUUAAGGUGGGUUCUGUUCUUGGGGUUCCGUAGUUGAAAC
RNAcentral lists this long non-coding RNA (747 nucleotides) under Citrus maxima (pomelo). RNAcentral describes it as "long non-coding RNA (CMAX_LNC000046)". Lineage: Eukaryota; Viridiplantae; Streptophyta; Magnoliopsida; Sapindales; Rutaceae. The record is from RNAcentral.